This 467-nucleotide ribosomal RNA is filed under the name uncultured bacterium. Its description in RNAcentral is "partial 16S ribosomal RNA". It matches the Rfam family "Bacterial small subunit ribosomal RNA", at positions 28 to 507 of the family's 1533-position model. The record is from RNAcentral.
GACGAACGCUGGCGGCGUGCUUAACACAUGCAAGUCGAACGGAAAGGCCUCUUUCGGGGGGUACUCGAGUGGCGAACGGGUGAGUAACACGUGAGUAACCUGCCCUUGACUUUGGGAUAACUUCAGGAAACUGGGGCUAAUACCGGAUAGGAGCUCCUGCUGCAUGGUGGGGGUUGGAAAGUUUCGGCGGUUGGGGAUGGACUCGCGGCUUAUCAGCUUGUUGGUGGGGUAGUGGCUUAACAAGGCUUUGACGGGUAGCCGGCCUGAGAGGGUGACCGGCCACAUUGGGACUGAGAUACGGCCCAGACUCCUACGGGAGGCAGCAGUGGGGAAUAUUGCACAAUGGGUGGAAGCCUGAUGCAGCAACGCCGUGUGCGGGAUGACGGCCUUCGGGUUGUAAACCGCUUUCGCUCAUGACGAAGCUUUGUGUGACGGUAGUGGGUAAAGAAGCACCGGCUAACUACGUG